This 468-nucleotide ribosomal RNA is filed under the name uncultured bacterium. RNAcentral's name for it is "partial 16S ribosomal RNA". It matches the Rfam family "Bacterial small subunit ribosomal RNA", at positions 28 to 507 of the family's 1533-position model. The record is from RNAcentral.
GACGAACGCUGGCGGCGUGCUUAACACAUGCAAGUCGAACGGAAAGGCCCUGCUUUUGUGGGGUGCUCGAGUGGCGAACGGGUGAGUAACACGUGAGUAACCUGCCCUUGACUUUGGGAUAACUUCAGGAAACUGGGGCUAAUACCGGAUAGGAGCUCCUGCUGCAUGGUGGGGGUUGGAAAGUUUCGGCGGUUGGGGAUGGACUCGCGGGUUAUCAGCUUGAUGGUGGGGUAGUGGCUUACCAAGGCUUUGACGGGUAGCCGGCCUGAGAGGGGGAACGGCCACAAUGGGACUGAGGUACGGCGCAGAAGCCUACGGGAGGCAGCAGUGGGGAAUAUUGCACAAUGGGCGGAAGCCUGAUGCAGCAGCGCCGCGUGCGGGAUGACGGCCUUCGGGUGGUAAACCGCUUUCGCCUGUGACGAAGCGUGAGUGACGGUAAUGGGUAAAGAAGCACCGGCUAACUACGUG